Molecule: ribosomal RNA, 253 nt
Filed under: uncultured bacterium
Lineage: Bacteria
Description: partial 16S ribosomal RNA
Rfam family: Bacterial small subunit ribosomal RNA
Source: RNAcentral
UACGUAGGGAGCAAGCGUUGUCCGGAAUCAUUGGGCGUAAAGCGCGCGUAGGUGGCUUCGUAAGUCCGUUGUGAAAGUCAAAGGCUCAACCUUUGAAUGCCGAUGGAUACUGCGGAGCUAGAGUACGGAAGAGGCAAGUGGAAUUCCUGGUGUAGCGGUGGAAUGCGUAGAGAUGUGGAGGAACACCAGUGGCGAAGGCGACUCUUUGGCCUGUAACUGACACUGAGGCGCGAAAGCGUGGGGAGCAAACAGG